RNAcentral lists this unclassified non-coding RNA (293 nucleotides) under uncultured fungus. Its description in RNAcentral is "partial contains 5.8S ribosomal RNA, internal transcribed spacer 2, and large subunit ribosomal RNA". The stretch from base 1 to 52 matches the Rfam family "5.8S ribosomal RNA", at positions 103 to 154 of the family's 154-position model. The record is from RNAcentral. Lineage: Eukaryota; Fungi.
AACGCACCUUGCGCCCUUUGGUAUUCCGAAGGGCACGCCUGUUUGAGUGUCAUGUUCAUCUCAAUCUAAUAGCUUUGCGGCUACUAAGAUUGGAUUUGGGAGCCUGCUGGCCCUUUCUUUGGGUCGGCUCUCCUUGAAUGCAUGAGUGAGCGUCUGGCUCGCGUCGCUGGUGUAAUAGUUAUUUCACCGUUGAGACGCUUGUCUAAUGAGCUUGCUUUCGAACCGUCUUCUCAUUGGAGACAAUACUUGACAUAUUUGACCUCAAAUCAGGUGGGACUACCCGCUGAACUUAA